Molecule: ribosomal RNA, 253 nt
Filed under: uncultured bacterium
Lineage: Bacteria
Description: partial 16S ribosomal RNA
Rfam family: Bacterial small subunit ribosomal RNA
Source: RNAcentral
GACAGAGGGCGCAACCGUUGUUCGGAAUUACUGGGCGUAAAGCGCGUGUAGGCGGCUCUGCAAGUCGGAUGUGAAAGCCCUGGGCUCAACCUAGGAAGUGCACUCGAAACUGCAGAGCUUGAGUCUCGGAGAGGAUCGCGGAAUUCUCGGUGUAGAGGUGAAAUUCGUAGAUAUCGAGAGGAACACCGGUGGCGAAGGCGGCGAUCUGGACGAUGACUGACGCUGAGACGCGAAAGCGUGGGGAGCAAACAGG